Meleagris gallopavo (turkey) is the source of this 3072-nucleotide long non-coding RNA. The record is from Ensembl. NCBI's taxonomy places the organism in Eukaryota, Metazoa, Chordata, Aves, Galliformes, Phasianidae.
AUGAGGGUGCUGGGAAGGAGCACCGAGCAGAGCAGAAAGGAGAGGGUAGCUGGGAACGCCGUGCCGCGUGGCUGCAGGCUGCUUCGAGCGGCCGUUCCUCUGCUCGGCCCAAUGUGCAGCUGCUGGCGCGCGCGGCCACCAGGGGGCAGCGUGCCUUGCCUGCGGCCGUUACUCCGCCGCAGCCGCCUCCUAACCGUAGCUAUUUCCGCCCCCGGCCCGCAGCCAGCCGCUGUAAGGCGGUGCCGCGAGGUUUUUCUCCUCGCAGCAGCGCUGAUGGGCGAGAUUGAGACUAGCUGGGCAAAACCAGUCUUGCGAGCAAAGCGUACUUCUCUUUUCAAGCAUUUCUUCACUCUUCUGAGGCUCCUCUUGUGUAACUUGACGCGGCGGUCCAAAGAGUUUUCUGUUUGCAGGCGGCCUCAUUUCAAUCCGCUGACCAGCUCCCAGAAAAAAAAGAGUUUGUGUUCUUUAGGAAGACUGCAGAAAAAUGAAGACCCGGCUAAAAGUACUAUUUGGCGUGGUUGUAUGUGUUUUGCUUUCCUUAUUUCUUAUAUGUAUUGUACUGCUUCCAUCCAAAGGAUUGUCGUGCCUGUACUGUUACGGCUUUAUCACUUUACAGAAAUGUACUGACAGCUGAAAUGUCCUGAAGGUAUGAUCGAAAUGCCAGCAGAUGUUGAAACAAUGAACCCUUUGAAGUGAAAAGCGCCUCAGUUAACUUUACUCAUGACGUAUGACAAUCUUAGACAAGACUGCAGAAAUAGUUCUUAGAUCUCAUAUUAUAUAUAUGUUAGGAGCUAUGAGAGUCUCACAGUCUGUUAAUAGUUUCUUUCAGCUUGGUGAACCUGUAUUUUAAUAAUUAUUAAGGAUCUCUAGACAAUUGCAAGUUAAAUAUUUCUCUGAUGAAAGGAUGUGGUGAAUUGUUUGUGGACAUGUUUAAGAUUGCAUUUGGAAAUUAAAGCCAGCAUUGGAUAAAAUAGGAGUGCAUGGUUUGUUCUAGUAUGAUGCUAGCUGUGAGUAAUUGCUGAUGCACAGAACGAUCUGUUGAGUCCACUGGUAAAGCUUGAAGUGUGUGUGGUUUGAUAUUUAGAGUCUGAAUGGCACUGGCUUUAAUGGGCAUUUUUUUCUGUGAGAAAUCCAGUAAGAGAGAGAUAAGUAUUUAUAUAUCCCUUUCACUACAAUGGAUGAAUUGAAUGCCUCUGAAAUAUUUAAAACAGUAAUAAUUAUAUAUAAAUAUAUAUAUAUAUAUUCCAGUAGCAGCAAUAAUUUCUUUUUUCUAUAAUUAUUCUUUGCCGAUAUGUUGGCAAAUCAGGUUCAGCUUUACCUUUACUUAGUCUUAUAGCUAAUAUUCAACUUUAGUGGAAGGUCAAAUCUCCCUUUCUUACCUGAUAUUUCAUUUUAAUAUAUUUAGCAUGAGUACUUCUGCUGGGGAGGAGUUGGAGAUUUAUAAGGUAGGGCUAAUUCUGUUCUGCAUCAUAUGAACACGAGGAUACAUUGUAUCAUGGCUGGAGGUAGCACUGCAAAGAGAUACCAACCUUAUAGAAUAGAAUCAUAAGUUAAGGUUGGAAAAGGCCUCUAAGAUCAUCUUGUCCAACCAUCUACCUACCACCAAUAUUGCCCUCUAAACCACAUCCCAGGGUACUACAUCUACACGUUUCUUGAACACCUCCAGGGUGAUGACUCCACCACCUCACUGGGCAGACUGUUCCAGUAUCUGACCACUCUUUUGGAGAACUUUCUCCUAAUAUCCAACUAAACCUCCCCUGGUGCAACUUGAGGCCUCUUGUCAUAUCACAGUUACCUGGGAGAAGAAGGCAGCACCUGCCUCACAACAACCUCUUUUCAGGGAAUUGUAGAUACAGAUCUGGUCUCCCCUCUAGAUUAAAUAAUCCCAGUUUCAUUAGCCACCCCUCAUAAGACUUGUGGUCCAGACUCAUCACAGCUUCACUGUCCUUUCCUCUCUGGACACACCCCAGGGCCUCAGUGCACUUACUGUAAUGGGAAAAUGGAAUACAAUACUCGAGGUGUGGCAUCACUAGAGCUGAGUACAGGGGGAGUAUCACCUCCCUGCUCCUUCUGGCUACAUUAUUUCUUAUACAAGCCAGGAUGCCAUAGGCUUUCUUGGCCAGCUGGGCACACUGCUGGCUCAUCUUCAGCUGAGCACUGACCAACACCUCCAGAUCCUUUUCUUCUGCACAGCUUUCCAGCCACUCUGCCCCAAGCCUGUAGCAUUGCAUGGAGUUAUUAUGAUCUAAGUGCAGAACCUGGUGCUUAGUCUCGUUGAACUUCAUCCCACUGGCCUCUUUCUAAAUUAACCACAAGAUUUUCAAAAGCACUCGGGAUAUUGGGCUGUAUCUCUUAAAAGGUCAUAGAAACCAAAUUUGUAGUCUAAAAUAAGCGAGAAAUUUUUACCCUAAAUACAUAACUAGAAAGUGAUUGUUUUCAUGAAUUGGAAUAUGAUACAAGAUAGCAGAAUUCCUUCUGUUAUUAAAAAAAAGAAAAAAGAAAAUAAUAAACCUUAGCAGUUUUCCUGGAAUAUCCUGAACUUUUCCAAGAGCCUUUCUUUGUGUCCCAGGAUCCAACCACGCCUCAAAAUGGAGUCCUUCUCUGAGCUCUUCCCCAUUUGGGCUUUGUUUACAUCACGCUUCUGGUUACCAGAUCUCUACAGAUAGGUCUUGCACUAAACACUGCUGUUGGGAUGUGAAAGAGAACUCUGCAACUGCCUUAAACAGGUAGCAAAUAUGAAGGGAAACAAAUGAAAGGGAAAAAAGUAUAUCUUGAAUUUAUCUACUUAUGUGAACUAGUUUUUGUAGUGAAAAUUUGCUUGUGUGUUUAGUGAAAGAAUUCAUAUACAAUUAGAUACACAACUAGAUUUUCCUCUUUCUCAGCUACUUGUACCAUUUGGAGUUCUAGAGAAUAUAAAAAUAAAAAUUNNNNNNNNNNNNNNNNNNNNNNNNNNNNNNNNNNNNNNNNNNNNNNNNNNNNNNNNNNNNNNNNNNNNNNNNNNNNNNNNNNNNNNNNNNNNNNNNNNNNCUAUCCACUAUUGACAGUACAGACUGGCAGUGAAGAAGUUGGUGA